This 497-nucleotide ribosomal RNA is filed under the name uncultured bacterium. RNAcentral's name for it is "partial 16S ribosomal RNA". It matches the Rfam family "Bacterial small subunit ribosomal RNA", at positions 28 to 507 of the family's 1533-position model. The record is from RNAcentral.
GACGAACGCUGGCGGCGUGCCUAAUACAUGCAAGUUGAGCGCUGAAGGUUGGUACUUGUACCAACUGGAUGAGCAGCGAACGGGUGAGUAACGCGUGGGGAAUCUGCCUUUGAGCGGGGGACAACAUUUGGAAACGAAUGCUAAUACCGCAUAAAAACUUUAAACACAAGUUUUAAGUUUGAAAGAUGCAAUUGCAUCACUCAAAGAUGAUCCCGCGUUGUAUUAGCUAGUUGGUGAGGUAAAGGCUCACCAAGGCGAUGAUACAUAGCCGACCUGAGAGGGUGAUCGGCCACAUUGGGACUGAGGCACGGCCCAAACUCCUACGGGAGGCAGCAGUAGGGAAUCUUCGGCAAUGGACGAAAGUCUGACCGAGCAACGCCGCGUGAGUGAAGAAGGUUUUCGGAUCGUAAAACUCUGUUGGUAGAGAAGAACGUUGGUGAGAGUGGAAAGCUCAUCAAGUGACGGUAACUACCCAGAAAGGGACGGCUAACUACGUG